RNAcentral lists this long non-coding RNA (1571 nucleotides) under Mus musculus (house mouse). RNAcentral describes it as "long non-coding RNA chr1:130473742-130475313". Lineage: Eukaryota; Metazoa; Chordata; Mammalia; Rodentia; Muridae. The record is from RNAcentral.
GGAGGUUCCGGCCAGGUGGUGUUGACCCAGACAAGAUAGCCCUGCUUGUACAAUCAAGCUGUUCUUAGGAAUGUCUUAACAACAGCCCUGUCUGUUCUGCUUUGUUCUCGGCCCCAGGCCGGGGCUCAUAGACAACUUUUUUUGCAUGAAUCACAAGAUAUAAAAUCUCAUUUUCUUUUAUCCCCUUAUCCCAACAUCUGUUACUCUGAUGAUAUCCAGUCUUAUACAUUCAUAUGACAUCAAAUACUAUGAAUUCUCAAAUCAUAUAUUUAGUCUGCAUCACUUUCCUGAAUAUAUAAGACCUGGUUGCUUAGUUGGCAACUUGAGUAGGAGAGAUAAAAGAUGUUUUAAUGCUAGAAAGAGAGAAAAAAAAAAAAACAAAAAAAAAAACCAGAGGUCCAAUUUCUUCCUACACCAGUUUCCCGUUUAGUGAAUGGCAUUCCAUCCUCCACUUAGGAUGGUUUAGGUCCAGCUCCCAAGGGUCAUCUUUUUUACCUCACUUUGUCUCAUAAUCCACCUAGAAAUUUAACAAAUAUUAUACUCUCCUCUCUACCUUCAAAUUACAGCUCAAAGUAGACAGGAUUCCCCUUUCACAAUCUUAUGCAAGCAGCCUUCCUUCCUUCCUUUCUAGCCACUGAGAAGGGGAGGUGUCUGCCACUCCCCUUACUCUCACAUUCCUGAGGGCAGGUUACUUGGCAGCUGCAUAUGUGUCCUGGCUUCCUUGCUUUCAGGAAACUCACACACAGUCGCUGACCAGGCCCCAUGGUCUCCUUCUCCCUUUCUUUUCUGCCCUCAUCUCCCCAGACUCCCCCACCCAGUGUUAACUGGUUUCCUUGUCCUGGCUUUUGAGCUCACAGAACAGAAUCCCAAACAGAUCAAAGUCCCACUCAGAGUCCGUGACUACUGUUUCAUACAGAUGUCUCCAUGCUUUCUAUACAUCCCUGAAGACCUUCUUCUUAAAUACUUAAGGAAGGCCCUUUUAUGCCAUUGUGUUUGAUAUAGAAAUGUACCCCACAAUUACAGGUCUAGUACCUCCCUUUAUAUUCAUUCCUUCAAUGCUUACCACAACUCAUAGCUUUUAAUAAUUUGUUAAUUGUGCGUAUUCCCACAAUUGAGUGUGAACUUCAUACACAGAAAGGUUUUUUUUUUUUUUUGUCUUUUGUAUUAAAUGCAAAACCCCAGACUCCUAGAUCAGUGCCCUGUAUAUAGUAUAUACUCAAUAAAUGUUGCUGAAUAACUGAAUUCAUGCACAGAUUUUAUAACCAUAAAACUCCCAUUCAAACAACAUGCUUAUGAAUCCUCUUAAAAUAUUGAAGAUUUGGCAACACUGGGCGUAUCCUCCCCAGCUAACAGGUACCGGAGAGGGGCUUAGGAGCCAUUUCCUUCUAAUGCUCACCACCACUUCCUGUUAUUCUCACCCAGGUUGACUGAGCGUGACCCGACUCUCCAGUGACACCCAGUCUGGGUCUGUUUGUAUCAAUGGGAAACAACACCUACUCCUUUCCCCAAAGGUAGUUUUCAAAAAAACAGGAAUUGUUUUACUUUAUAAAAUCGCUUUAUUAUAACGAUCU